Molecule: long non-coding RNA, 572 nt
Organism: Colias croceus (clouded yellow)
Lineage: Eukaryota; Metazoa; Arthropoda; Insecta; Lepidoptera; Pieridae
Exons: 3
Source: RefSeq, a predicted model, not a curated record
ACUAUUUAUCUGUACAUACGUACUGCUGCACUCGCAUUUUCUCCACUCAAAAAGAACGCACGAAGCAUAAGUACAUAAUCCCGUGAUAUGAAUUGAUAUGAUAUUGUACCAGGAAAAACGUAAACAAACGCGACGAAAAAAAGCAAGUUUUCACUUCCGCUAACAAUUAGGCACUGUUUGUCCGUUGUCGCAACGCGUUCGGCGUUGGGGUGCGAACUGCGAACUGCGAACUGCGACGCGGGCGCAGGCCACAGAGGGAAAGGGGGUGGCGGGGUGAAGGAUGGCGAGCUUCGACGCGAGUUUGCCGGAAUUUAUCAAUGGAGCUGUCCAGCGGACCUAUUCGAAAUCGUACGCUAGAAAAUUACAACACAAUACCUAGUGUGGGUCAUUGACUAAGAAUAGGUUUAACAAUUUUUACAUAUUUAUGUGGACAAUUUUGGGACAUUUCUGUUUGUUAGUGUUUUUAAUUAUUUCUUACACAAAUAUGAUUGGUUAAAGGUACUUAACACCCUGUAAAAUUUUAUGUACUGAUUAAAAAAUAGUGGUGUAUUAUUGAGAAAGAGACAGACAGA